RNAcentral lists this ribosomal RNA (262 nucleotides) under uncultured bacterium. Its description in RNAcentral is "partial 16S ribosomal RNA". It matches the Rfam family "Bacterial small subunit ribosomal RNA", at positions 793 to 1055 of the family's 1533-position model. The record is from RNAcentral.
GUCCACGCCGUAACGAUGGGCACUAGGUGUGGGAGGUGUCGACUCCUCCCGUGCCGGCGCUAACGCAUUAAGUGCCCCGCCUGGGGAGUACGGCCGCAAGGCUAAAACUCAAAGGAAUUGACGGGGCCCGCACAAGCAGCGGAGCAUGUGGUUUAAUUCGACGCAACGCGAAGAACCUUACCUGGGCUUGACAUGUGGGUGACCGGUGUGGAAACACACCUUUCCUUCGGGGACACCUUCACAGGUGGUGCAUGGCUGUCGU